GAUGAACGCUGGCGGCGUGCCUAAUACAUGCAAGUCGAGCGAACGGACGAGAAGCUUGCUUCUCUGAUGUUAGCGGCGGACGGGUGAGUAACACGUGGAUAACCUACCUAUAAGACUGGGAUAACUUCGGGAAACCGGAGCUAAUACCGGAUAAUAUUUUGAACCGCAUGGUUCAAAAGUGAAAGACGGUCUUGCUGUCACUUAUAGAUGGAUCCGCGCUGCAUUAGCUAGUUGGUAAGGUAACGGCUUACCAAGGCAACGAUGCAUAGCCGACCUGAGAGGGGGGGCGGGAAGAAUGGAAAUGAGACAAGGUAAAGACGAAUGAGGGAGGAAGCAGUAGGGAAUAGUAGGAAAUGGGCGGAAGAAUGAAGGAGAAAAGAAGAGGGAGUGAGGAAGGUAGUAGGAUCGGAAAAAUAUGUUAUUAGGGAAGAAAAUAUGUGUAAGGAAAUGCGCACAUAUUGAAGGUAAGGAAUUAGAAAGAAACGGAUAAGUAAGGG
Molecule: ribosomal RNA, 497 nt
Filed under: uncultured bacterium
Lineage: Bacteria
Description: partial 16S ribosomal RNA
Rfam family: Bacterial small subunit ribosomal RNA
Source: RNAcentral